UACGUAGGCAGCGAGCGUUGUUCGGAAUUACUGGGCGUAAAGAGUGUGUAGGCGGUGUUCUCAGUCUGGUGUGAAAUCUCCCGGCUUAACUGGGAGGGUGCAGCGGAAACUAGAAUGCUAGAGGGUGGGAGAGGUAAGCGGAAUUCCUGGUGUAGCGGUGAAAUGCGUAGAUAUCAGGAGGAACACCUGUGGUGUAGACAGCUUACUGGACCACUUCUGACGCUGAGACACGAAAGCGUGGGUAGCAAACAGG
Molecule: ribosomal RNA, 253 nt
Filed under: uncultured bacterium
Lineage: Bacteria
Description: partial 16S ribosomal RNA
Rfam family: Bacterial small subunit ribosomal RNA
Source: RNAcentral